RNAcentral lists this long non-coding RNA (7726 nucleotides) under Sus scrofa (pig). RNAcentral's name for it is "lncRNA (ENSSSCG00060073913.1)". The record is from RNAcentral. Lineage: Eukaryota; Metazoa; Chordata; Mammalia; Artiodactyla; Suidae.
CUCUGAGAGAAGAGCUGCUGGAGACUCCUGGAUGUCUGGCCCAAAGCUGGAGGCUCUGAAAGGGCUGAGAGAUGAUUUGGAAGAUACCAUUUGACUGCUUUUUACUGACGUGACCAUAUGUCUACCCGGAGAUUGGAGACCUUGGACAGCUGGAGGAUCCAAGAUAACCUCCCUCCUCCUGUCUGGAUUCGCAGAAUAAAACCUUGUCAAAACAACAAAGGAAAAGUGGCCGGACUUCAGUUUAAGAACCCAGACCAAUGAAGACAAGAGAGCUGCUCUUUGUGUGACGCAUUUCCUCACCCAGCCGCAGAUUGCAACAGAGGAGAUGAGAUAAAGAUGAGGAACCUCAACAGAAAGGAUGGAUGUAAACAGUGGGUUUGCUGUGCAGUGACAAGAGCCCAGCUUGGGAAGGGUGUUGAGUGGGGUGAAGAUGUCACAGGAACUCACGAAAGCCAGAGGAGUUCACAGUUCAGAGAAGGUGGGUCUUCUAGCUGCUGAAGGCCACACAGCAACCCUUGUGGACAGUGAGGUCCAUUCUAAGGACCUGUUCGUGAAUCCAACUACUGAAGAGCCUUAACCAGUCUUCCCUCUGGGUUCUUUUCCUUUACAUUCCAUGAGUUGGAGAUGGACCGUCCUAGUGCAGUACUUGGAUGAAUGGCUGGAAUGAAAUGAUGGUGAGUGGCUCUACAUGCAGCUGAGGUAGCCUUAUUUUUCUUUUUCGGGCCACACCUAUGGUGUAUGGAAGUUUCCAGGCUAGGGGUCUAGUCGGAGCUGCCGCUUCCAUCCUAUGCCACAGCCACAGCAAUGUGGGAUCCAAACCGUGUCUUCGACCUCCACCACGGCAGUGCUGGAUCCUUAACACAAUGAGGCCAGGGAUCGAAACCACACCCUCACGGAUAUUAGCUGGGUUCUUUACCACUGAGCCACGACGGCAACUUCCUACACGCAGCUGAGGUUCUGACUGUAAAAAAAGGCUUGGUCAAAAUUGUGAGGAAGAUACUCAUUUUGUCCCACUUCUCCUAGGACUUCCAUCUCCAUCAUUUCCACUUCCAUCUUCCAUUCCCCAUCAGUAUGGCUGUGUUUGUCCAUAUCCUCUUCUCUCCAAAAUGCGUCCUAAUUGGUAGAAUCUCAUGUUCUCUGUAUUUCUCUUCUCACUUUCUUGCCCCUACUGAAGUGUGUUCUACUGUCUUAUUCUCUAUUUUCUGGAGGCUAAGCCUGCUUUCUCUCCAUCCCUCUUUCCAUCCAUUUAUGCUGUCAUCCAUGCAUCUCUCCCAUCCUCCAACAAACCAUCACCCAACCAUUUGGGCAAGCUAAUUUAAAUUACAGUCCUAAUGGCUUUAAAAGUCUUAGCAUUAAGCCUUCCCCAGUUGAGGGGAUUUCUGGCGUGACAUCAGGCGAAUAGGGUAAAUAUUUGGGGAGGAACAUAUGGUGAAUUUAGCUGUCACAUUCUCUACUGAAUCAUAGAGCUAGUUAGCUUAAAUCUGUUAUGUCAGGAGAAAAGCAAAUUUGAAGGUGAUUCUGCUUAGUCCGAAGCCACCUCUGCCUCAUUGUUGUCACUGCAGAAUGUGAAAUCACCCCAUAGCAGAGGCCACAAAGGCCUAUUGCUGGAAGCCCAGGUCUGUGUGCAGCAGGUGAGGAGGCUUCUGCCAACUGCUGGCCCUCGGUCUUCUUGCUGGCCUCUUUGGAGGGUUUCAGUGGUGGGGCUUCUUCUGUGGUCCGGUACUCGGAUUGUGGGUACAAUCUGCCCUGUCAUCACUUUCACUCUGAUUAGCUUCAUUCGGAAGAACUUUUGAGAGCCUUUUGCAAACCCGGGUCAGCGUGGGAAAACCAGUUCCUCUGUAUGGGACUGAUUUAAUCUCUGUAAGAGGCUGAUCUUGGGGGGAAAAAAUACACGCCUUCUCACGUCAAACACAUAGGACACAUCAGCCCACAGCUGCUCCGGAGGCAUCUCAGGUUUUUCUCUCUGUGCGUCCCUCAGUAUCUUGGGAUGGUUAAGAGGUGUCUAGCUGGCUUGGUCCCCGAUGUAUCAGUCACCGCUGGGCUUGGUGCCACGAAGCUCUGGGUGUAAUCAAACAAUCUGCAGCUUAGUUGGGACAUCCUGCCUGCUUCGGGUGACUCAGAGCUCCUCAGCAGCUGGUUGGAGUUUUGUUUGUGGCAGUGCCGCCUGCUCACUCCACACCCCCAACUCCCUGUAAGCCGCUCCACAGGUGGCCCGACUUGUGGUGCAAAUACAAGUUUGUCAACUGUUGAUUUCUUUUCCCUCUGUGUGUGCGUGUGUGUUUAAACUUAUCUAAACAAAAUUAAGCUGUGGGGAGUCCAUUAAUAAAAGGUUUCUAUUACAAAAUUAUUGGCACUCUGCAAGGCGCUUUGGAGGAAGGCAGGAAGAUCGAUAUUACCUAGAAUAAAAUAGCAGGGCAGACAUGACUCAGGGGAAUUGGGCUCUUAAGUAUGAGAGGGAAUAUAGAUUUCUACCCCAGCAGUCAAUGUUUGAAUAUGAUGAAACAGCGUGUUAGAAGUCACGGUCGGGCAAUUAUUUGAAAGGUCUUGGGGAGACUCUAAAUGUGCUUUAAAAAAAGAAAAACAACCCCCCCCAAUAUCCCUCAGCUAAAGCUUCUCGGAAAUAAAGAGCAAGAUGAGAAACCAAAAAUGUAGAGCCUUUGAUGAAUUCGUGCAGAUAUCGAGGGCCAUAGAAGUGGUAAUCGAACUCUAUUUGCUUGUGGGGGAAGGAGUUGGGAGGGAACAAGGAGACCUGUCAUUUUGUAGAACAGGGAGGCUGUUGAGAAGCCAUUCCUCAUCUUUAAAACUCGUGCCUUCACUCUGCUCUUGGAAGCUUUGUGGAGACGGGUGGGGAGCACAGUGGAUUGUUACUCCGAGAGGAUCAAUUUAAUGGGAUGUAGUUUCCUCUCCAUCUCUGUCCUGCAAGCCAAUUAACCUUCUGGCUAGGGAAAUGCUGCUGGCAGCUUACAGGGCCAUUGCUGGAGCAGCGCCUGCCCUAGGUACCAUUUGCAAAUUGCUGAGAAAGGGAUUUCUGGAGGGCUCCAGGGAGGAGGGGAAGACUGUUCAGCUACAAAUAUGUCAGGACAUCAAUUCUAAGGACCGAGGAAUGGCUAUACAGAGGGCCGGCUGACUGUAUAAUGCUUAUAGCUGCUGACUUUAAUCUUUAACAGUAAAUAGUUGAAGGGAUCAUGCACCCAAGCUAGCUUUCCCCAAAGUGUAUUCAGAGGAGGGCUCGUGAAGUGUGGUGUUAUUUGGUGUUUAAGGGGGAAUAUUUUGGGGUUUAUUUUAAUGGAGGAGAGAUGUCCUAUGGUCUCAGCUAUUUGGGAAAUGUUUGGUUCAACAGAUUUCUUUAGUGCAUUCCUUCUCAGAGCCUUUAAUAAGCUAAAGUGAGUUAUGGAGCUUCAUUAUGAGCCCAUGCUAGGUGGCCCCCCUCAGAUUAUUUUGUUGGGGAAUUAUUUAUUCAAGGAUGAUAUUCUGGAUCAGGAAUUCUGAGAAAAAGUGUUUUGGAAAUAAUGGUCUAGGCGUUUGCUCUGCUUGCAGUCAACAAUGAGCCAUUUCCAUGCUGGUUCUAUCUUCAAGCUGGACAAACCCCUGUCUUCAUCCUUUGGUUGGGGUCCAAAAGCUUCCUACUGGGGCACAUUCCAGAGCAGUUUCCAUGACACCAGCCCUCCAUUCACUCAUUUAUUGAUAUACUCAUUCACCCAAGCUCGUCCUUGUUUGCUCUUGUGCUGCUGAUUCUGACUCUGAACACUUAUUUUUGUCCUCAGCCUUAGACCCCCAGGCCUGACUCCCAUCCAUGCAGAGUUGGAAACAUCUUGGUCCUUCUGGCAUUUUGACAUUCAGUGCUGCUGUAUAAUCUUGUGUAUGUUCUUUGGCUUUGCCUUCUCCUCUGAAUUCAUUGUCUGCAAUUGUCUUCAAGGUCAACACAAUAGGCCAGUGCAGCCCCCCAACUCUUGCUCAGUCUUCUCAGCUAGAAUCAGCUGAAACCCUGACCUCCUGCUCUUGAAAGCAUGGAUUUGAGUCCCGUUCAUUCUUGGAGCCUUUCCCAGUGUCUCAAAUACUCCCAGAGUCAGAAGGUUUUUGCUGUAGUGACCUAAAUAUUUCUUCCAAUUGAUGAGUCAGUUACUUCCUCUUAUUUUUCUGUAAGAGCAAUGGAGAGUGAAGGGGCAUCACGCAUGUCAGUGCUGGGGGCUUACUAAAGUGCCUUUCUUCUUUCUGGAAAAGGGUAGCUCCCAGCCAGGUGUAGCCUCUCAGAAGCACUCUGAGGACCCCCCCAAGGGUAGAAAGGAGCUAACAAAUUCUUCUCUGGCCCUAUCCUCACCUCCCCCAAUGGUUUCAUUUAAAUAGUGACAGCCCUCAGAAUCCCCAUCCUUGAGUGAACUUCAUUUCGAGACAUAGCACCAUGGACAUGUGUCCAUGGAGAUAGUCCCACUUGCAGGUCUAGGAGAUGUUGGCUCAGAUGUCUUCCUUUGGGGUUGACACAUUGCUUCCUCUGGAGACUCACAAGGUACAGUUCUCCCUGGUCUUUAUUCCACUUGUUUUAUGGAAGAAAAAUGUGGAAGAAAAAUUAUUGCUACCCAGAAGCUCGGGGUCAACAAAUAAAGGAACUGAAGGACUCAAGAUUCCCUCAUACUGCAUCCAUGGAGUCUGGAAGGGGUUAGACAGUCAUUAACCAAUAUUAGCCUCAUCUUAGAUCCAUUUUCUUUCACUUUCUUCAAAUGGCAUUCUUUAUCCCACCAACCAGUGGGAUCAAGCAGGAGCAUAUAAUAUGGGGAGCAUGUGCAUCUUUCUGUCUCCAAAAUUAAUAAGAAAAUAAGCAGUGGAAAGGGAGGGCAUGAAGAAAUUAUGUUUUCAGAUAGUUAAUUUACCCAAACUGCAACUUCUAUCCAUUUAUUAUAGACAUUUUGGAAAAAUACAAAGACAUAGAAGGAAAACUUGUCUAGAAAGAUAGGUGCUGAAAAUUUCACUCUGAUGUCAGCCACUCAAAUGGUUGUAUUUUUUUUUUCUUGAGUUACUGCUUGCUUUUUACCCACAAACAGAAUAGAUCUUUUUUUUACCGCCUUGGCUGUGCCAAGGGCAUGUGGAAGUUCUGGGACCAAGGAUCGAACCAGAGCCACAGCAGUGGCUUACCCUAUAGUGGUUAACACCAGAUCCUUAACUGCUAGGCCACCAGGGAAUUCCAUCAUAGUAGAUCUUGUAUCUAAUCAUAUCUCCAACUUUUCCCCCAUUUCUAGAAAACUCUGCCCUGUUUAUUCAUGGAGUAACAAACAAUUCAUUGACCACUGCUUAUGGAAUGCCUGCCAUGUGCCAGGAACUCUCUGAGGCCUUGUGGGUACAUCAGUGAGUAAACCAGACAUGGGGCUGCUGGUCAUACACACCAUUCCUAGGUGCUAUUGUCUGAUGGAUGUCAACAGGUAUUCAUACGACUUAUUGAGCAUACAGCUAGUCUUGUGUUAACAGUUUGCAGGAAAAUUUAAUUCCUUUCAUUCUGUAUGUGGAUCCUCUCAGAGUUUUUCCUUCUCCCCAUUCCACUGAGGAAGGCCAGGGAUCGAACCCUCAACCUCAUGGUUCCUAGUCGGAUUCGUUAACCACUGAGCUACGGCGGGAACUCAAUGUACCACAUCUUCUUGAUCCACUCCUCUGUCGAUGGACAUUUAGGUUGUUUCCAUGUCUUGGCUAUUGUAAAUAGUGCUGCAAUGAACAUUGGAGUACAUGUAUCUUUUUGAAUUAUGGUUUUCUCUGGACAGAUGCCCAGGAGUGGGAUUGCUGGAUCAAAUGGUAGUUCUAUUUUUAGUUUUCUGAGGAAUCUCCAUACUGAUUUCCAUAGCGGUUACACCAAUUUACAAUCCCACCAACAGUGUAAUAGUGUUCCUUUUUCUCCACACCCUCUGUAGCACUUAUUGUUUGUAGACUUUUGGAUGAUGGCCAUUCUGGCUGGUGUAAGGUGGUACCUCAUCGUGGUUUUGAUUUGCAUUUCUCUACUAAUGAGUGAUGUUGAACAUCUUUUCAUGUAUUUUUUGGCCAUCUGUAUGUCUUCUUUGGAGAACUAUCUGUUUCGCUCUUCUGCCCAUUUUUUGAUAGGGUUGUUUGUUUUUUUGGUAUUGAGUGGUAGGAGGUGUUUAUAAAUUUUUGAGAUGAAUCCCUUGUCAGUCGAUUCAUCUGCAAAGAUUUUCUCCCAUUCUGUGGGUUGUGUUUGUGUUUUGUUUAGGGUUUCCUUUGCUGUGCAGAAACUUUUAAGUUUGAUUAGGUCCCAUUUGUUUAUUUUUGUUUUUUACUGUCAUUACUCUGAGAGGUGGAUCUAAGAAGCUGUUGCUGCGGUUUGUGUCAGAGAGCGUUUGACCUAUGUUUUUCUCUAAUAAGAGUUUUAUAGUAUCUGGUCUUAUAUCUAGGUCUUUAAUCCAUUUUGUUGGAUAUGUUUUGACAUGGAUAUCACCCAUAAAAGCUCCCCUUGUGGCUGAAGUUGGUAGGAGGGGUGGAGGGGCGCUUGCUGUAGGCUUCCUGAUAGGAGGGACUGAUGCCUGCCCACUGGUGGGUGGAGCUGAUUCCUAUCCCUCUGGUAGGUGGGGCUUUGUCUCUGGGUGAGAUUAGAGGUGGCUCCGUGCCUGGGGGGUCUUUAGGCAGCCUGUUUACUGAGGGGCGGGGCUGUGAUCCCACCUGUAUUGUUUGACCUGGGGCUUCUCGGUGCUGAUGGGUGGGGCCAGAUUUUCCCAAAAUGGCCACCUCCAGAGAAACUCAUGCUGAUGAAUAUUCCCAAGAGCUUUGCUUUCAAUGUCCUUCCCUCACAACAAGCCACGUUCACCCCUGUUUUCCCAGGAUGUCCUCCAAGAACUGCAGUCAGUUCUGACCCACAUUCCUAUGGUCACUUUGCUUUGCCCUGGGACCCUGUGCAUGUGAAAGUCUGUGUGUGCCUUGUAAGAAUGGGGUCUCCAUUUCCCCCAGUCCGGUGGAGCUCCUGCACAUAAGCCCCACUGGCCUUCAAUGCCAGAUGCUCCGGGGGCGCUUUCUCUCAGUGCCAGAUCCCCAUGGAUCUGGGGGUUUAAUGUGGGGCUCAGAACUCUCACUCCUGUAGGUGAGUCUCUGUGAUACAGUGACUUUCCAGUCUGUGGGGCUUCCCACCUGGGAGGUAUGGGGUUGCUUAUGUCACGUAAUCACCCCUCCUACCUCUUGAUGUGGCCUCCUCUUUGUCUUCUGUAGUAGGAUAUCUUUUUUAAGGUUUCUGGUCCAUUUGGUUGAAGAUUGCUCAGCAUUUGGUUGUAAAUUUUGUUGUUUUUUUAAGAGAGAAGUUGAGCUCCAGUCCUUCUAUUCUGCCAUCUUAAUCCCAUAUCUCUUCUCAUCUUUUAUGGAGGCCUCUGUGCAUUGUCUCUCACACGUUAUUGUGGCCGGGGUCCCAGAGGAGCAAGAGAGAGAGCAGCAUGGUUGGAGGAGACAGAGGUGGGAACUAAGAAGGGGACAGGAGGGGCUGGCUGAGAUGGUGGGGAUCUGCCCCUUCUCCCUGAAGGGGUUGGAGGGAAAGUCAAAGAGGAGGAGCCCAGGUACCUGUGCUCCCAGCAACAGCAAAGGUCUUCAUGCCCACCUGCUCAAGAGAGCGCUGAGCAGCCAGACUCAAGAGACCAUGAAGACCUUGUUUGUGGAGUGAUGUCUGUGGGGUCCCUGAUGUUUCUCUGAUGUUUCAUGAUUCAUGAGGUCUUUGGAGCCUUUGCAGAACUGAUCUAGGCUACUCUGAUCACAU